RNAcentral lists this ribosomal RNA (253 nucleotides) under uncultured bacterium. RNAcentral's name for it is "partial 16S ribosomal RNA". It matches the Rfam family "Bacterial small subunit ribosomal RNA", at positions 524 to 776 of the family's 1533-position model. The record is from RNAcentral.
UACAGAGGGGGCAAGCGUUGUUCGGAAUUACUGGGCGUAAAGGGCGCGUAGGCGGCCUGUUAAGUCGAACGUGAAAUCCCCGGGCUCAACCCGGGAACUGCGUCCGAUACUGGCAGGCUUGAAUUCGGGAGAGGGAUGCGGAAUUCCAGGUGUAGCGGUGAAAUGCGUAGAUAUCUGGAGGAACACCGGUGGCGAAGGCGGCAUCCUGGACCGAGAUUGACGCUGAGGCACGAAAGCCAGGGGAGCAAACGGG